This 490-nucleotide ribosomal RNA is filed under the name uncultured bacterium. RNAcentral describes it as "partial 16S ribosomal RNA". It matches the Rfam family "Bacterial small subunit ribosomal RNA", at positions 28 to 523 of the family's 1533-position model. The record is from RNAcentral.
GACGAACGCUGGCGGCGUGCUUAACACAUGCAAGUCGAGCGGAAAGGCCCUUUCGGGGGUACUCGAGCGGCGAACGGGUGAGUAACACGUGAGUAAUCUGCCCUUGGCUUUGGGAUAACCACCGGAAACGGUGGCUAAUACCGGAUACGCCCACUCCCGGCCCCGGGUGGGGGUGGAAAGCUUUUUCGGCCAGGGAUGUGCUCGCGGCCUAUCAGCUUGUUGGUGGGGUAAUGGCCUACCAAGGCUUCGACGGGUAGCCGGCCUGAGAGGGUGACCGGCCACACCGGGACUGAGACACGGCCCAGACUCCUACGGGAGGCAGCAGUGGGGAAUAUUGGACAAUGGGCGGAAGCCUGAUCCAGCAACGCCGCGUGAGGGAUGACGGCCUUCGGGUUGUAAACCUCUUUCAGUACCGACGAAGCGCCGAUGAUGGCGGUGACGGUAGGUACAGAAGAAGCACCGGCCAACUACGUGCCAGCAGCCGCGGUAA